This 253-nucleotide ribosomal RNA is filed under the name uncultured bacterium. RNAcentral describes it as "partial 16S ribosomal RNA". It matches the Rfam family "Bacterial small subunit ribosomal RNA", at positions 524 to 776 of the family's 1533-position model. The record is from RNAcentral.
UACGUAGGGUGCGAGCGUUGUCCGGAAUUAUUGGGCGUAAAGGGCUCGUAGGCGGUCUGUCGCGUCGGGAGUGAAAACUCAGGGCUUAACCCUGAGCCUGCUUCCGAUACGGGCAGACUAGAGGUAUGCAGGGGAGAACGGAAUUCCUGGUGUAGCGGUGGAAUGCGCAGAUACCAGGAGGAACACCGGUGGCGAAGGCGGUUCUCUGGGCAUUACCUGACGCUGAGGAGCGAAAGUGUGGGGAGCGAACAGG